This is a long non-coding RNA of Metopolophium dirhodum (rose-grain aphid), 1024 nucleotides long. RefSeq lists it as uncharacterized. The record is from RefSeq and is a predicted model, not a curated record. The transcript is spliced from 5 exons. Lineage: Eukaryota; Metazoa; Arthropoda; Insecta; Hemiptera; Aphididae.
GUAUGGUAAUUAAUUAAUUAAACGAUUCAAACUGGAGGAAAUCAUUAAAUUUUAUAAUUUAUAUAAGUAUGAUAGGAGGAAAGAACAGCGGUACAAGUGGUAUUCACUUGUCCACCUUUUAAAAAUUAAUUUGAUUUUUUUAAAAACUUACUACCUAUUAUUUUUGCUAUCGUUUGUAGGAGUUAACACUUUCUUUUGCAGGAGUUAAUACUAUGUCUAUGUAGGAGAUUACCUACAUUUGUAGGAGUUUACUAUUCCCCAAUUUGUCUACCCAGUCACAUGACCCAUAUAUCGACGAUAUAUAUAAAGGGGCUCGAAAACCAGACCAAAUGUUGACAUUCAAAAAAACAUUCAAAAAACCCUCACUGACGACAGAUGGUUAAAUCUUUUGUGCCACUCACCAAAAUAUUGUUAAUUGUUUUCCUAUGGGAAUAAAUAAAAUAAUGAGUUUUCACAUGGCCACUUAGAACUUCUCUGAAAAGUAAAAUUACCUAGUUAUCGCACCGGAUAAAAUAUUGUUUUAAAUAAUAAAGUUGUUUUACUUUUCCUUAUAGAGCAUCAUCUUCUCGAAAAUUAUAAGAUAAAACAAAGGUUCACAGCUUUAGAAGAAGGAAAUGGCCAAGUGGAUCAAAAGUAUUAUGAUUUGAUGAAAAAUUGUCGGGCUCUUAGUGGAGAAGUUGACUAUGAAGUAUACGUAAUGAGACUAAUUAAUACCGGAUGCAGACCAUUAGGUGAACCAGAGUGGGAAAUAGAAUUAAAAGAUACAGGAGAAACUAAUGCUGUCGCUAUACUUCAAGGGUCAGGUAAAAAUAAGAUACAGUAAACGCCAAAUUUGUUGGUAGUACGGAAAUUAUCAAGGAUAUUUAGUUUAUAACUGAUUAAAAAAAUAUAAUGUAUCACUUCAUGUUAAAAAUUGUAAAUUUUUGAUUUUGUUAUUACAAUUAUUUAACAUAUUUUUUAUAUAACAAUUGUGCUUAUAUAAUAGAAUCAAUAAAUCUAAUAAAAUACGAUAUAUUUUCGAAAG